GGGGCAGCAUGGUCUUAGCUUGCUAAGGCCGAUGGCGACCGGCGCACGGGUGAGUAACACGUAUCCAACCUGCCGUCUACUCUUGGACAGCCUUCUGAAAGGAAGAUUAAUACAAGAUGGCAUCAUGAGUCCGCAUGUUCACAUGAUUAAAGGUAUUCCGGUAGACGAUGGGGAUGCGUUCCAUUAGAUAGUAGGCGGGGUAACGGCCCACCUAGUCUUCGAUGGAUAGGGGUUCUGAGAGGAAGGUCCCCCACAUUGGAACUGAGACACGGUCCAAACUCCUACGGGAGGCAGCAGUGAGGAAUAUUGGUCAAUGGGCGAGAGCCUGAACCAGCCAAGUAGCGUGAAGGAUGACUGCCCUAUGGGUUGUAAACUUCUUUUAUAAAGGAAUAAAGUCGGGUAUGGAUACCCGUUUGCAUGUACUUUAUGAAUAAGGAUCGGCUAACUCCGUGCCAGCAGCCGCGGUAAUACGGAGGAUCCGAGCGUUAUCCGGAUUUAUUGGGUUUAAAGGGAGCGUAGAUGGAUGUUUAAGUCAGUUGUGAAAGUUUGCGGCUCAACCGUAAAAUUGCAGUUGAUACUGGAUAUCUUGAGUGCAGUUGAGGCAGGCGGAAUUCGUGGUGUAGCGGUGAAAUGCUUAGAUAUCACGAAGAACUCCGAUUGCGAAGGCAGCCUGCUAAGCUG
This 681-nucleotide ribosomal RNA is filed under the name uncultured Bacteroidales bacterium. Its description in RNAcentral is "bacterial SSU rRNA". It matches the Rfam family "Bacterial small subunit ribosomal RNA", at positions 66 to 736 of the family's 1533-position model. Lineage: Bacteria; Pseudomonadati; Bacteroidota; Bacteroidia; Bacteroidales. The record is from RNAcentral.